CCCUUAGAUGUUCUGGGCCGCACACGCGCUACACUGAUACAUGCAACGAGUUUAUAACCUUGAUCUGACGGUCUGGGUAAUCUUCAAACUGUAUCGUGUUAGGGAUCGAUUCUUGCAAUUUUUAAUCGUAAACGAGGAAUUCCUAGUAAACGCAAGUCAUCAGCUUGCAUUGAUUACGUCCCUGCCCUUUGUACACACCGCCCGUCGACUCUACCGAUUGAAUGGUUCGGUGAAAACUUUGGACUGUGGCAUUGUCCUUCAUUGGACUUCGCCGUAGGAAAUUGUUUAAACCUCAUCAUUUAGAGGAAGAAUAAGUCGUAACA
RNAcentral lists this ribosomal RNA (323 nucleotides) under uncultured eukaryote. RNAcentral describes it as "partial 18S ribosomal RNA". It matches the Rfam family "Eukaryotic small subunit ribosomal RNA", at positions 1470 to 1796 of the family's 1831-position model. The record is from RNAcentral.